CAAAUCCUGCAGUCCAUCCAUUUGUGCUGUCUCAUAGAUCCAUACAUCUUUGGGAAAAAGAGCAGAAAUCAAGUCCAUCUCAUUUACAUAUAUGGAAAUGGAUGGUAUGAAUUAAAACGAAUCAGAACAUGAUGAUUCAUCAGAAAGUCGAUAAAUUAAAAGUACUUCAUUUCCCCGGAGGGCUCUGGCUUUAUAAUUGACAGCAUCGGAACAAUUUCCACAGCAGCAGUUUUUGAUUUUGAAAGUGAAUCUAGAAGAUGGAGUCUCACUCUGUCGCCCAGGCUGGAGUGCAGUGGUGCGUAUUUGGCUCAAUCCAACUUCUACUUCCUGGAUUCAAGUGAUUCACCUGCCUCAGCCUCCUGAGUAGCUGGGAGAUUACAGUUUUUCAGUGGUUAUUAAAGUGUUGACUCUGGAGGACUGUUUACAGCUGGAAAUCUAAAGAUUUUUCUCAUCAAUGUACACAAUAAGGACCCCAUUCUUAUCUACAGCAACUGUGACCUUCAUUGUGAAGGUUGCUCCUGCCAGUGACUUCAGCCCUGUAUUUAAAGCUGCACACUAUUCAUUCUCUGUUCCGGAAACGUUGGGAGAUCACUGUUGACAUUGAAAAUGAGAAUGAUGAAGCACCUGUCUGCACACCCUCUCUAUAUAAGACAGUCAUUUUUGACAAUGUUGUUCUUGGGACA
Molecule: long non-coding RNA, 683 nt
Organism: Homo sapiens (human)
Lineage: Eukaryota; Metazoa; Chordata; Mammalia; Primates; Hominidae
Source: Ensembl